This 2078-nucleotide long non-coding RNA is filed under the name Marmota monax (woodchuck). The record is from RNAcentral. Lineage: Eukaryota; Metazoa; Chordata; Mammalia; Rodentia; Sciuridae.
GUUGAUACAAGGUCGUUGCCCACGAGGAUCCCAGGGACAAAGUAAGGAGGACCGGGAUUUGGAGGUGGUGUCAGGUUGCAGGGAGAACUAGACCAGAAACAGCAACCAAUCCAGGGGAGAAGGAGUCUCCAUGGGAAAUGGUGAAGGAAACCAGCCGCAACCCAAAGACAGGAGGAGGAGCUCAUCAGCAAUGGGAGAAAAGCCCAGGGUCAAACCCAGGAAGCUUCCUGAUGCUGGGCCCUGGUGGGCGAGGGGCAGGGGAGCCUCAGGCAGGCGUGGUGGGGCGGGGGUGGGGACAGGUGCAGGAGCAGAGAGCAAAUGGCACAGGUGGCACGGACACACCCUGUUCCCAGCUGUGGUGCUGGCCUGAGAGCAUGCGCUCGCUCACCUGGUCCUCACGGGGGGCGGGGGAGCUCUUCAUGGAACACCUUGCGGCAGGUAGAGGUGACAGAUGUGCGGACAGUCCCUGUGGGUCUUGAGUAUCCUCCUACUGCAUGCCCCCCCUUUCAGCACAGAUCCCCAGCCCUUUUCCUCGUGGGUAAGCAGUUCACCCCAGAUAUUGUCAGCCACUUCCUGCCGGGCAGUUCCUUCCUAUCUGCCUUCGUUGUGCUCCUUAGUGACAAUCAGUGGGGAGAGCCUGUCCCUGCUCCCUCCGCCCCUGCUUCCUCUCCACAGGGGACACCCACCCAGCAAGGUGCAUUGAGGGGCUCCUCAGCUUGCCUUCUCUCCUCUACCACCAGCAGCUCCCAAGCUGUUUAGCUUUAGGGCCCUUUUUCAAUCUUAAACAUUUUUGGAGACCCCAAAGAGCCUUGAUUUUUGUUAAUUAUACUAGACAGCUUUUUUUUUCCUUCAAAAACCGUAUUAGAAAGUAAAAUUGAGAAAUUAAAAAAAAAAUAAUUCUUUUAAAAAUAACAGUCAUAAACCCAUGCAUGUUGACAUAAAUAGCGUGUUUUAAUUAAAAAACCCUAUAUUUUUCAAGACAAAAUAGUCUAAUAAGAAGAGCAACAUUAUUUUACAUUGUUUCAAGCUUCUUUAGUGACUGGCUUCGUGGAAGGCAGCUGGGUCCUCGGGUUGUGGUACCUGUGGGAGUUUCUGGAAGAGCGAGCCAGAGGGCCGGGGAAGAGAGACAGACGCCGUCUUCGCAUUAUGGUGAGAACAGCGUCCACCGCAGGAGCCUUCUGGCCAAGCACACUGUGAAGUGGGCAGGGCCUCUCUGAGGUGUGCCGUGGUGGUCAGGAGCCUCAGUGCUGGACCAAGGGCCCACAUCUGCUCCAGGAUCUGCAUCCUGGCCGAGCUCUGGGCGAGAUCUUCCUGCAGGGUUCUUGUGUCUGUCCAGUUCUUGCUGGUGCCGGCUCGUUCACUGCAGGAAGGGGUGUGGGCACCUCCUUGCUCUCGGCUGUUACUCAGAAUCCAUGCCUACAGGACAGGCGGACGUUGGUGAUUUCUCAUGCUGGAAUUAGUUAUCCUUUGCAGGUUUAUAUCUCUUAGUGUAACAAAGGGGUUAAAAACAACAGAGAAAGACAGUGGAAACUUAAGGGUGCUGUGGGCUCCUUAGUUGUUGUGGCCACUUAAUCUCGUUUUAAUCUGUGGUAUCCAUCCACCCUUAUUCUUUGGCAUAAAGGAGUCCUGUGUCCUUAGAUUACAGGCAAAUUCUCAGCAAAAUUUCUGGAAGAACUCAGGUGGAAGGGGAAGAAUCUUCGGCUCCAAACUUUCCCAGAGUGAAAUGUGAGUUCCCUGUUGUGUGUGGUCCCUGCCCCCACGGAGGGGCCCUGUUCCUGGGCCUGUGGAGCUGUGUGGUUUGGUCGUGGGUUCCAUGUCUCCUCGGGGCUGUGCCAGGAGCUAGUGAACAUACGGCCUUUGAAAAAUGGCUUUGGUAAUUUUGUCAUUGUAAAUUGUUGGAAGCACCCUAACUGUCCCUAAGAGAAGACUGCUCAGGGAUAUUACGGGAGGGACAUCCACACAGUGGACACUAACAAGGAUAAAUCCAAGAAGGCGUUUGGUUUUGAUGUGCCAGUGAAGACAGAUUUCCAAGAAGUAGUGUUGAGCUAAGAUGGUGCGGGACAGGGCUCAUGGCAGAG